UACACAAUAAAUUCUAGGACAGCCUGAGC
RNAcentral lists this non-coding RNA (29 nucleotides) under Mus musculus (house mouse). The record is from RNAcentral. Lineage: Eukaryota; Metazoa; Chordata; Mammalia; Rodentia; Muridae.